Molecule: long non-coding RNA, 373 nt
Organism: Antechinus flavipes (yellow-footed antechinus)
Lineage: Eukaryota; Metazoa; Chordata; Mammalia; Dasyuromorphia; Dasyuridae
Exons: 3
Source: RefSeq, a predicted model, not a curated record
CACACUUGAAAAGGAAUGCAUGGGUAACUGACGUAUGAACUUGUAUAUGGAACUCACACAAGAAUCCUCAUCCUGCUGUAGAGACUCUGCUGAUGUACCCAUCCCCCUGCCCAUCUAUCAUCCAGUUGCAUAAAGCAGUAGACAUUUACUCUGCUCAGUUUGGCUUUCAAAAGCAAGAAUAUACAGCAAGGAUUCCAAGGAGGAACUUCACUUUUGUCAAAAAACUUCAAGGGAAAAGAACUGUCUCACAGUAGCCUUCCAAAAAGAAAUACCUCUAUGGGCACAGGCUGAAGAGGAAUCCAACCAUAGUCUGAAGAUGCUGAAACAGAGGGCUUUGAUAAAAUUUUGACAGAGAAAACAAUAAAAGACAAAC